UCGUACUACCGAGGCCCGAGGGCUGUCGCUGACGCGUUUCAAGCGUCGUGCACGCCCGAGCGCUCUCGCAUACAAAAUCCACCUCACCACUUGUGCAUCACCGCGUGGGGCCUCUCUUUCGGGAGGCUCGCGUUUUUAAUACACACAUACACGUUUAUAGUCAGUUUAGAAUGUCACUCAUUUGCGAUCACACGCAAUCAAUA
RNAcentral lists this unclassified non-coding RNA (203 nucleotides) under uncultured Russulaceae. Its description in RNAcentral is "sequence contains ITS1". The record is from RNAcentral. Lineage: Eukaryota; Fungi; Basidiomycota; Agaricomycetes; Russulales; Russulaceae.